GACGAACGCUGGCGGCGUGCUUAACACAUGCAAGUCGAACGGUGAAGCCCUUCGGGGUGGAUCAGUGGCGAACGGGUGAGUAACACGUGAGCAACCUGCCCCUGGCUCUGGGACAACCACUGGAAACGGUGGCUAAUACCGGAUACGACCCGCCUCGGCAUCGAGUGUGGGUGGAAAGUUUUUCGGCUGGGGAUGGGCUCGCGGCCUAUCAGCUUGUUGGUGAGGUGAAGGCUCACCAAGGCGACGACGGGUAGCCGGCCUGAGAGGGCGACCGGCUACACUGGGACUGAGACACGGCCCAGACUCCUACGGGAGGCAGCAGUGGGGAAUAUUGCACAAUGGGCGAAAGCCUGAUGCAGCGACGCCGCGUGAGGGAUGACGGCCUUCGGGUUGUAAACCUCUUUCAGCUCCGAAGAAGCGAAAGUGACGGUAGGAGCAGAAGAAGCACCGGCUAACUACGUG
RNAcentral lists this ribosomal RNA (462 nucleotides) under uncultured bacterium. RNAcentral describes it as "partial 16S ribosomal RNA". It matches the Rfam family "Bacterial small subunit ribosomal RNA", at positions 28 to 507 of the family's 1533-position model. The record is from RNAcentral.